UAGGGAAUCUUCCACAAUGGGCGAAAGCCUGAUGGAGCAACGCCGCGUGUGUGAUGAAGGGUUUCGGCUCGUAAAACAUUGUUGUAAGAGAAGAAUGACAUUGAGAGUAACUGUUCAAUGUGUGACGGUAUCUUACCAGAAAGGAACGGCUAAAUACGUGCCAC
This 164-nucleotide ribosomal RNA is filed under the name uncultured bacterium. RNAcentral describes it as "partial 16S rRNA". It matches the Rfam family "Bacterial small subunit ribosomal RNA", at positions 355 to 511 of the family's 1533-position model. The record is from RNAcentral.